UCCGGAGGGUGCAAGCGUUAUCCGGAUUUACUGGGUUUAAAGGGUGUGUAGGCGGACUUUUAAGUCAGCGGUGAAAUCUCCGGGCUCAACCCGGAAACUGCCAUUGAUACUAUUGGUCUUGAAUGUUGUUGAGGUGGGCGGAACGGGUCAUGUAGCGGUGAAAUGCAUAGAUAUCUGGAGGAACACCGGUGGCGAAGGCGACAUCCUGGACCGGCAUUGACGCUGAGGCGCGAAAGCCAGGGGAGCAAACGGG
RNAcentral lists this ribosomal RNA (253 nucleotides) under uncultured bacterium. RNAcentral describes it as "partial 16S ribosomal RNA". It matches the Rfam family "Bacterial small subunit ribosomal RNA", at positions 524 to 776 of the family's 1533-position model. The record is from RNAcentral.